This 842-nucleotide ribosomal RNA is filed under the name uncultured Bacteroidota bacterium. Its description in RNAcentral is "bacterial SSU rRNA". It matches the Rfam family "Bacterial small subunit ribosomal RNA", at positions 39 to 879 of the family's 1533-position model. Lineage: Bacteria; Pseudomonadati; Bacteroidota. The record is from RNAcentral.
GCGGCAGGCCUAAUACAUGCAAGUCGAGGGAGAAAUUAGGUGCUUGCACUUGAUGGGAACCGGCGAACGGGUGCGUAACACGUAUGCAACCUACCUAUAACUGGGGGAUAGCCCGAAGAAAUUCGGAUUAAUACCCUAUAACAUUUAGUCAUCGCAUGAUGAUUAUCUUAAAACUCCGGUGGUUAUAGAUGGGCAUGCGGCCUAUUAGUUUGUUGGUGAGGUAAUGGCUCACCAAGACUACGAUAGGUAGGGGGUCUGAGAGGAUGAUCCCCCACACUGGUACUGAGACACGGACCAGACUCCUACGGGAGGCAGCAGUAGGGAAUAUUGGACAAUGGACGAAAGUCUGAUCCAGCCAUGCCGCGUGCAGGAUGACGGCCCUAUGGGUUGUAAACUGCUUUUAUAUAGGAAGAAACCUUUCCACGUGUGGAAAGCUGACGGUACUAUACGAAUAAGGACCGGCUAACUCCGUGCCAGCAGCCGCGGUAAUACGGAGGGUCCAAGCGUUGUCCGGAUUUAUUGGGUUUAAAGGGUACGUAGGCGGAAUUUUAAGUCAGUGGUGAAAGCCUCCAGCUCAACUGGAGAAUUGCCAUUGAAACUGAAGUUCUUGAAUAUGGAUGAGGUGGUUGGAAUAUAACAUGUAGCGGUGAAAUGCUUAGAUAUGUUAUAGAACACCAAUUGCGAAGGCAGAUCACUAAACCAUUAUUGACGCUGAGGUACGAAAGCGUGGGGAGCGAACAGGAUUAGAUACCCUGGUAGUCCACGCCGUAAACGAUGUUCACUCGCUGUUGGCGAUAUACUGUCAGCGGCCAAGCGAAAGCAUUAAGUGAACCACCUGGGGG